UAAAGCAAGAAAGGGCGUAUGGGGAAUGCCUAGGCACACUCCGGCGAAGAAGGACGCAGCAAACAGCGAAAUGCGACGGUGAGCGGUAAGCACGUGAAGAGCCGUCGAUAUCCGAAUGGGGGAACCCACACGGAGUCAUAUCCGUGUAUCACAUGUCGAAUACAUAGACAUGAUGAGGCGAGACGCAGGGAACUGAAACAUCUAAGUACCUGCAGGAAGAGAAAAUAAGAAUGAUUUUCUGAGUAGCGGCGAGCGAAAGGGAAAGAGCCCAAACCGAUCUGAGGAUCGGGGUAGUAGGAUCAUCGAUAAAUCAAACAGAGGAUCAUAGAGGAAUCACAUGGGAAGGUGAGCGAGAGAGGGUGAGAGCCCCGUACUCGAAAUGAGAGACUGGAGAGAGAUGACACCUGAGUAGGGCGGGACACGAGAAAUCCUGUCUGAAUCAGCCGGGACCAUCCGGCAAGGCUAAAUACGAGAGAGUGACCGAUAGUGAACCAGUACCGUGAGGGAAAGGUGAAAAGAACCCCGGGAGGGGAGUGAAAGAGAACCUGAAACCAUAUGCCUACAAGAAGUCAGAGCCCGUUAAAGGGUGAUGGCGUGCCUUUUGUAGAAUGAACCGGCGAGUUACUGUAUGGAGCGAGGUUAAGCAGGAUAUGCGGAGCCGAAGCGAAAGCGAGUCUUAAGAGGGCGCGAGUUGCAUGCAGUAGACCCGAAACCGGGUGAUCUAGCCAUGACCAGGUUGAAGUUGGGGUAAAACCCGAUGGAGGACCGAACCGACCCCCGUUGAAACGUUGGCGGAUGAGUUGUGGCUAGGGGUGAAAUUCCAAUCGAACCCGGAGAUAGCUGGUUCUCCCCGAAAUAGCUUUAGGGCUAGCGUCGAGAGAAGAGUUGCGUGAAGGUAGAGCACUGAAUAUGUGAUGGCCCCAUCUCGGGGUACUGAGCAUAAUCAAACUGCGAAUGUCACGCCAACAUGCUCGGCAGUCAGACAGCGGGUGAUAAGGUCCGUUGUCAAGAGGGAAACAGCCCAGACCAUCAGCUAAGGUCCCAAAAUGUAUGCUAAGUGGAAAAGGAUGUGGAGAUGUACAGACAACUAGGAGGUUGGCUCAGAAGCAGCCAUCCUUUAAAGAGUGCGUAACAGCUCACUAGUCGAAUGACUCUGCGCCGAUAAUUUACCGGGGCUAAGCAUACUACCGAAGCUAUGGAUCCCAAGGGAUGGUAGGGGAGCGUUCCAUGAACGGAGAAGUACGACCGAAAGGACGUGUGGAGAUCAUGGAAGAGAGAAUGCCGGUGUGAGUAGCGGAACGUGGGUGAGAAUCCCACGCACCGAAAACCCAAGGUUUCCAGAGGAAGGUUCGUCCGCUCUGGGUAAGUCGGGACCUAAGGCGAGGCCGAAAGGCGUAGUCGAUGGACAACAGGUAGAGAUUCCUGUACCCGUAUAUAUGUGAAGGAAUGACGGAGAGAGGAAGCUGCAGCCAGCGGCUGGAAGAGCUGGUGCAAGCGAGAUAUCGGGAUGGCAGGCAAAUCCACCAUCCGAAACGAGAAGGCGUGAAGCGUACGGAAAGCUACGGCGAGUACGGAAGGCAGUGGAGGAACUUCCAAGAAAAGUUUCUAACGUUAAGUAUAUAUGGCCCGUACCGAAAAUGGACACACAUGGGUGAGGAGAGAAUCCUAAGGUGAGCGAGAGAACUAUAGCUAAGGAACUCUGCAAAAUGACUCCGUAACUUAGGGAGAAGGAGUGCUCAUAGAGAUAUGAGCCGCAGUGAAACGGCCCAAGCGACUGUUUACCAAAAACACAGCUCUCUGCUAAGCCGCAAGGCGAAGUAUAGGGGGUGACGCCUGCCCGGUGCUGGAAGGUUAAGGGGAGGGGUUAACGCAAGUGAAGCCCUGAACUGAAGCCCCAGUAAACGGCGGCCGUAACUAUAACGGUCCUAAGGUAGCGAAAUUCCUUGUCAGGUAAGUUCUGACCCGCACGAAAGGCGUAACGAUUUGGGCGCUGUCUCAGCUGUAGACUCGGUGAAGUCUUAGUACCUGUGAAGAUGCAGGUUACCCGCGACUAGACGGAAAGACCCCAUGGAGCUUCACUGCAGGUUGAUAUUGGGAUUUGAUGCAGCAUGUACAGGAUAGGUAGGAGGCAAAGAGAUGGAUACGCCAGUAUUCAAGGAGCCGCUGUUGGGAUACUACCCCUGUUGUAUUGGAUUUCUAACCGGACGACGUAGAGCCGUUGACGGGACAGUGUCAGUCGGGCAGUUUGACUGGGGCGGUCGCCUCCCAAAGAGUAACGGAGGCGCCCAAAGAUACCCUCAGCUUGGAUGGAAACCAAGCGCAGAGUGCAAAGGCAAAAGGGUGUUUGACUGCGAGACCCACAAGUCGAGCAGGGACGAAAGUCGGGCUUAGUGAUCCGGCGGUGCUGAAUGGAAAGGCCGUCGCUCAACGGAUAAAAGCUACCCUGGGGAUAACAGGCUGAUCUCCCCCAAGAGUUCACAUCGACGGGGAGGUUUGGCACCUCGAUGUCGGCUCA
This 2515-nucleotide ribosomal RNA is filed under the name human gut metagenome. RNAcentral describes it as "bacterial LSU rRNA". It matches the Rfam family "Bacterial large subunit ribosomal RNA", at positions 1 to 2539 of the family's 2925-position model. The record is from RNAcentral.